CUGGCAUUGGCUGCUGUUGGAAGACAGGAUACUGGGCUAGAUGGACCUUUGGUAUGACCCGGAUUGGCUACAAGGAUUGUCUUUGGUGGGAGAUCUAAGACGCAGUACACCUGGGCGUGCCUUUCUUCUGAGGAUCCCAGAGUGCUUGGCACACAUUCAGGAAGCCUUGCCGUGUUUCCAGGAAGAAGCUAAUAUUUCCAUGUGACAGACGAGGAACCUGAAGCACAAACUGGGGAAAUACUUUCCCCA
This is a long non-coding RNA of Malaclemys terrapin pileata, 249 nucleotides long. RefSeq lists it as uncharacterized. Lineage: Eukaryota; Metazoa; Chordata; Testudines; Emydidae. The record is from RefSeq and is a predicted model, not a curated record. The transcript has 3 exons.